CAGGUCGAGCAGGGACGAAAGUCGGGCUUAGUGAUCCGGUGGUUCCGUAUGGAAGGGCCAUCGCUCAACGGAUAAAAGCUACCCUGGGGAUAACAGGCUUAUCUCCCCCAAGAGUCCACAUCGACGGGGAGGUUUGGCACCUCGAUGUCGGCUCAUCGCAUCCUGGGGCUGUAGUCGGUCCCAAGGGUUGGGCUGUUCGCCCAUUAAAGCGGUACGCGAGCUGGGUUCAGAACGUCGUGAGACAGUUCGGUCCCUAUCCGUCGCGGGCGUAGGAAAUUUGAGAGGACCUGUCCUUAGUACGAGAGGACCGGGAUGGACAUACCGCUGGUGUACCAGUUGUUCCGCCAGGAGCACCGCUGGGUAGCUAUGUAUGGACGAGAUAAACGCUGAAAGCAUCUAAGUGUGAAACUCGCCUCGAGAUGAGAUUUCCCAUUUCCUUCGGGAAAGUAAGACCCCUCAGAGAUGAUGAGGUAGAUAGGAUGGAAGUGGAAGUGCCGUGAGGCAUGGAGCGGACCAUUACUAAUCGGUCGAGGACUUAACCAAG
This 544-nucleotide ribosomal RNA is filed under the name Limosilactobacillus reuteri. Its description in RNAcentral is "bacterial LSU rRNA". It matches the Rfam family "Bacterial large subunit ribosomal RNA", at positions 2385 to 2925 of the family's 2925-position model. Lineage: Bacteria; Bacillati; Bacillota; Bacilli; Lactobacillales; Lactobacillaceae. The record is from RNAcentral.